RNAcentral lists this ribosomal RNA (399 nucleotides) under Triticum aestivum (bread wheat). RNAcentral describes it as "partial small subunit ribosomal RNA". The record is from RNAcentral. Lineage: Eukaryota; Viridiplantae; Streptophyta; Magnoliopsida; Poales; Poaceae.
AUGCUUUACGGCUUAGAACCGGGGCUUCAACGACAUUUUGAACGUCAUGGAGCAUAUGAGAUGUUCCAGGAGUUGAAGCUAAUAUUUCAAGCAAAUGCCCGGAUUGAGAGAUAUGAAGUCUCCAAUAAGUUCUACAGCUGCAAAAUGGAGGAGAAUAGUUCUGUCAGUGAACAUAUACUCAAAAUGUCUGGGUAUAACAAUCACUUGAUUCAACUGGGAGUUAAUCUUCCGGAUGAUAGUGUCAUUGACAGAAUUCUUCAAUCAGUGCCACCAAGCUACAAGAGCUUCGUGAUGAACUAUAAUAUGCAAGGGAUGGAUAAGACAAUUCCCGAGCUCUUCGCAAUGCUAAAAGCUGCGGAGGUAGAAAUCAAGAAGGAGCAUCAAGUGUUGAUGGUCAAC